GCGUCCGGGGGCGUGGCGACUGCGCCUACGGGCGUGACUGACAGGAGGGGGGCUGCUGCUCUAGCAAGAAGGAGGUACGUCCGUGAAGGAGGUGGUGGCCCUCCCAGAUACACUCCUACCCGGUCACUUGGGAAGGCCCUCACCACAGUACCAGCAUAAUGGCGGAGGCAAUGAUGUCUGCUCACGUUUAGGAGUGACUGGCUGGACGCAGAGCACGCUGUCCAGGCACAGAGCGGGAACCUGAAGAAUCUGGGUUGAGAUGAAUUUGCUCAGACUCAGAAUCCACUCUCUGGACUGCCACCACUUGUGCCCAGCCCAGGCCGUGCCUUCUCUUGCAGUGGCUGCCCAGGAGCUGACCUGCUGGAGCCUGGCCCCAGCCCUCCAUAAGUUCCUGUGUGUCCAAGCCAACUGCAGGUAGGGAUUCUGGCUUCCAUGUGGCAGAAUGAACCUAUCUGAGCUCCCCAACAUCCCAGCAGCCAGGAUGAGGGCAAGGAAGGAUUUUGAAGAACGUGGGAUCCUGCUGAUGAAGAAACUGAGCCCCAGGGACUGACGUGCCCAGUGCCUCUCAGCUGCUGUGUGCCUCCUGCAUCUGCGCUCUCGGCUGCCGUGACGUUCUGCCUCUACCUUUGGAAACAUUGGCCUGAGAAUUCGUGGAUGCUCUGCUUGUAAGAGCCACAUGGCUGCCCAUUGGCAGGAGUGGCCCCAGCUCUCUGGGACAAUCUGACAGGCCCUCUGAUGGUUCUUCAGAAUGAGGUCGAACCACGUUGUUACUGCGUGCUUUCUAUUGAGACUAUGUAUCAACUGAAAAAAGUAAUUUGCCAUGAUGCACCCAAGCCUAUUUUUAUAAGAGAAAAAACAAAACUACACGCGUCUCACUAAGAACUGAAAGGGUUGGAAGAUUCCAGACAAAACUGCCACCUGUGACGAGAUUGCUUCUCAGAGGAAGGAUGGGAGUGAGAUGCAGAACAGCGCUGGCGAAGAGUAGGAAACUGUGAUAACUGUGUUCUUUCGGUAAUUAAACAGGAAAUGUGUUUUUAAAGAAAAGAUAUUAAAGAACUCAAAAGCUGUCCCGAGGGCCCCUCCCCAGGGGAGAACUAUCAGGAAGGGAAGGACUUGAGGGAUAACUAUAAUUUUUCUGUACUAGUAAUCUUUUGCAUCGAAGAGAUCUGGAUUUGAAGUCUAGUUCCAUCCCUGACCAGCUGUGGACAAGGGAGUGACCUCAGUUUCUUCAUCUGCAAAAUGGAAAUACAGGUUCAUCAUUCACAGGGUUGCUAUAGAAAUUCCAUGAGUUAAUUCGGGGAGCAUCCAGCGCGGUCCCUGGCACGUGGCAAGGGCUCCUGAAUGGUUGUCACAACACGGAAGAAGGUACAAGGUGCUGCCCCAGGGUCCUGGGGCUCAGAGGGGCCCAGGUGGGGGAGAGGGGGUGUGCCAGGGAACAAAGGCCCAGGAGAAGACACUCAGGAAGUUGGGCCUUCUCUCUGCCAUGACUUCAAGAAGGGGAACCAGGCUCAGGUUUGGCAGGGGGGCCCUGGCCACUAUGGUGAGUCCCACAGCCCGGCUUGAGGGCUGCUCUCCCACCACAUGGCAGCCAGUCUGCAGGGGAAUGGAGAAGUAAGAGCUGUUUCCUGGGGAGAGCCAGACAGGCCAUGCUGAGCGUGGAAAAACCCUCUGGUCAGCAGGACCUGGGGGUGGGAAGCCCUGGCUCCAGGACUGGCCACCUGUGCCUCUCUGCAGCCCAGGCCCUGCGCUCUGCCAGCUUGGACCCCCCCAGGCCAACUGAAGCUGGGCCCAGCCCGACCGGCCUCUCUGCUGCUCUGGCCUUUUGACAGCUCCAUCAUGUCCGCAGAGUGAGGCCUCAUCAGCUCCUUACCCUUCCAAGCCUGCCUCAGGGUGACAUCCACUCACCUCUUGGUGUGGGCGGAGGGGCACUUGGGGCUCAGCCUGGCCCUGUUACUCUCCUGGGCUGCUAGUGGGGCUGCCCUCCCUCCCCCAGCCUUGCCUCAAAUCCUGGGGCGGAACCAGCGCAUCCCCUCAGGGCAGACAGCAUUCCCAGUUUACAGCGCAGCCCAGUGGAGUCCCAUGGCGCAGCGAGGUGGGCACUGAGGGGGUGCCAGUGGCUCUCCUUUGGGAGCUCCUGCUGCAGGGACUGUGGUGGCUGAGGGCCUGGCUGCCAUCUCUCUGCAUCUCCCACCAUGUUCUACACCCAGGCCAGCUUCCCCCAGGCCCCUCCUACCCAAUACCUGAGAUGUCCACCUGCAUCCUGCCUGCUGUUUCCUCUUCCUGUUAUCCUUCCCUGGCAUUUCCCCCAAUAAAUCUCUUG
Molecule: long non-coding RNA, 2320 nt
Organism: Manis javanica (Malayan pangolin)
Lineage: Eukaryota; Metazoa; Chordata; Mammalia; Pholidota; Manidae
Source: RefSeq, a predicted model, not a curated record